GUCCUUUUGAUUAUAAUUUAAGGUCUGACCUGCCCACUGAAAUUAUUUUAAAUGGCCGCAGUAAUUUGACUGUGCAAAGGUAGCAUAAUCAUUAGUUUUUUAAUUAAAAGCUUGUAUGAAGGGUUGGACGAGAUAAAAUCUGUCUCUAUUUAAUUUAUUAUAAAAUUUAAUUUUUAAGUUAAAAAGCUUAAAUUUUUUUAAAAGACGAGAAGACCCUAUAGAUCUUUAUAGUUUUGAUUUUGAAUUUAAUUAAUAAAUUUUUAGGGUUUAUGAUUUAAACUAUUUUAUUGGGGUAAUAGAAAGAUUAAAAUAAUUCUUUUUUUCUUUAAACAUUUAUUUAUGUUUUUAAUGAUCCAAUUUUAUUGAUUAUAAGAUUAAGUUACCUUAGGGAUAACAGCGUAAUUUUUUUAGAGAGUUCUUAUCGAUAAAAAAGUUUGCGACCUCGAUGUUGGAUUAAAGAUUAGUUUAGGUGU
This 473-nucleotide ribosomal RNA is filed under the name Lissopterus quadrinotatus. Its description in RNAcentral is "partial 16S ribosomal RNA". The record is from RNAcentral. RNAcentral also lists the same sequence under 1 other name. Lineage: Eukaryota; Metazoa; Arthropoda; Insecta; Coleoptera; Carabidae.